GACGAACGCUGGCGGCGUGCUUAACACAUGCAAGUCGAACGGUAAGGCCCUUCGGGGUACACGAGUGGCGAACGGGUGAGUAACACGUGGGUGAUCUGCCCUGCACUUCGGGAUAAGCCUGGGAAACUGGGUCUAAUACCGGAUAGGACCACUGCCUGCAUGGGUGGUGGUUGAAAGCUUUUGCGGUGUGGGAUGGGCCCGCGGCCUAUCAGCUUGUUGGUGGGGUGAUGGCCUACCAAGGCGACGACGGGUAGCCGGCCUGAGAGGGUGACCGGCCACACUGGGACUGAGAUACGGCCCAGACUCCUACGGGAGGCAGCAGUGGGGAAUAUUGCACAAUGGGCGCAAGCCUGAUGCAGCGACGCCGCGUGAGGGAUGACGGCCUUCGGGUUGUAACCUCUUUCAGCACCGACGAAGCGCAAGUGACGGUAGGUGCAGAAGAAGGACCGGCCAACUACGUGCCAGCCGCCGCAGUAA
Molecule: ribosomal RNA, 477 nt
Filed under: uncultured bacterium
Lineage: Bacteria
Description: partial 16S ribosomal RNA
Rfam family: Bacterial small subunit ribosomal RNA
Source: RNAcentral